AGUGAACGCUGGCGGUAGGCCUAACACAUGCAAGUCGAACGGCAGCACAGUAAGAGCUUGCUCUUACGGGUGGCGAGUGGCGGACGGGUGAGGAAUACAUCGGAAUCUACUUUUUCGUGGGGGAUAACGUAGGGAAACUUACGCUAAUACCGCAUACGACCUACGGGUGAAAGCAGGGGAUCUUCGGACCUUGCGCGAUUGAAUGAGCCGAUGUCGGAUUAGCUAGUUGGCGGGGUAAAGGCCCACCAAGGCGACGUUCCGUAGCUGGUCUGAGAGGAUGAUCAGCCAAAAUGGAACUGAGACACGGUCCAGACUCCUACGGGAGGCAGCAGUGGGGAAUAUUGGACAAUGGGCGCAAGCCUGAUCCAGCCAUACCGCGUGGGUGAAGAAGGCCUUCGGGUUGUAAAGCCCUUUUGUUGGGAAAGAAAAGCAGCAGGUUAAUACCCCGCUGUUCUGACGGUACCCAAAGAAUAAGCACCGGCUAACUUCGUG
RNAcentral lists this ribosomal RNA (492 nucleotides) under uncultured bacterium. RNAcentral's name for it is "partial 16S ribosomal RNA". It matches the Rfam family "Bacterial small subunit ribosomal RNA", at positions 29 to 507 of the family's 1533-position model. The record is from RNAcentral.